GUGGGGAAUCUUCCACAAUGGGGGCAACCCUGAUGGAGCAACACCGCGUGCUGGAUGAAGGCCUUCGGGUCGUAAACAGCUUUUGUAUACGAAGAAUAUGACGGUAAUAUACGAAUAAGGGUCGGCUAACUACGUGCCAGCAGCCGCGGUCAUACGUAGGACCCAAGCGUUAUCCGGAGUGACUGGGCGUAAAGAGUUGCGUAGGCGGCUUAUUAAGCGAGUAGUGAAAUCUGGUGGCUCAACCAUCAACACAUUACUCGAACUGAUAGGCUUGAGAAUGGUAGAGGUAGUUGGAAUUUCUUGUGUAGGAGUGAAAUCCGUAGAUAUAAGAAGGAACACCAAUGGCGUAGGCAGACUACUGGACCAUUUCUGACGCUGAGGCACGAAAGCGUGGGGAGCGAACCGGAUUAGAAACCCGGGUAGUCC
Molecule: ribosomal RNA, 426 nt
Filed under: uncultured bacterium
Lineage: Bacteria
Description: partial 16S ribosomal RNA
Rfam family: Bacterial small subunit ribosomal RNA
Source: RNAcentral